RNAcentral lists this ribosomal RNA (468 nucleotides) under uncultured bacterium. RNAcentral describes it as "partial 16S ribosomal RNA". It matches the Rfam family "Bacterial small subunit ribosomal RNA", at positions 28 to 507 of the family's 1533-position model. The record is from RNAcentral.
GACGAACGCUGGCGGCGUGCUUAACACAUGCAAGUCGAACGGAAAGGCCCUGCUUUUGUGGGGUGCUCGAGUGGCGAACGGGUGAGUAACACGUGAGUAACCUGCCCUUGACUUUGGGAUAACUUCAGGAAACUGGGGCUAAUACCGGAUAGGAGCUCCUGCUGCAUGGUGGGGGUUGGAAAGUUUCGGCGGUUGGGGAUGGACUCGAGGCUUAUCAGCUUGUUGGUGGGGUAGUGGCUUACCAAGGCUUUGACGGGUAGCCGGCCUGAGAGGGUGACCGGCCACAUUGGGACUGAGAUACGGCCCAGACUCCUACGGGCGGCAGCAGUGGGGAAUAUUGCACAAUGGGCGGAAGCCUGAUGCAGCAACGCCGCGUGCGGGAUGACGGCCUUCGGGUUGUAAACCGCUUUCGCCUGUGACGAAGCGUGAGUGACGGUAAUGGGUAAAGAAGCACCGGCUAACUACGUG